Parasteatoda tepidariorum (common house spider) is the source of this 401-nucleotide non-coding RNA. Lineage: Eukaryota; Metazoa; Arthropoda; Arachnida; Araneae; Theridiidae. The record is from RefSeq and is a predicted model, not a curated record.
AGAUGCUUGAAGAACUCAUUUCUGAAAAUGAUACUAUCUUGAAGAAGAGUUUACCAGCUUUGCCAUAUUCAAUGCAACAAUUAGUAUUUAUAUCAAUGGCUCAGCUCUUAUGCGAAUCAAGAAGCCGUCAAUUAGAGGAAGAGAAAUAUCGAAAUGAUAAUCAUGCUCCUACAUACAUAAGGUUAAAUGGAAUGGUGAGAAACUCAAAAACAUUUGGAAACAUAUUUAACUGUAAGCCUGGAAGCAAUAUGAAUCCUAUUGAAAAGUGUAUUUUUCUUGAAUGAAAUAAUAAUAAUAAAUAAAAGCAAUAUAUAAAUCUACAUAUUUUUAACGUUUUGUAUUUAUAGUUCUUGUUAACUUCAGUUAAAAAAAAAUAAAACGCAUCAUGGUUUGUCUGUGAA